GGGACCCAGGACCCAGACGCCCCGUGGGCGCCUCCACCUGAAGGCGCGGAAGAGCCAGUCGGCACUGCCGCGUCAUCCCCGAAGGCCAGCCGCCCCGGGACGCUCGCCCUGCACCCGGGUUCUAGUGCGGCCGGCCCCGGGCGCCCGCCUCCACCUCCUCUCCUGAGCCCGGCUCUGGCUCCGCCCGGCCCCCCCGCCACUGCCCCAGACACUCACCUGCGCCGGCUCCAGGUUGGGCGCACUGCCGCCUCCCAGCUCCGCGGGGAGUCCACACCAAAGAAGUCAGAGAAAAAGGGCCCAGGUUCGGAAAGGGCCGCAUGGACAGAACCUGAAGCGCGCCCGGCCCAGGCCAAAACCUCCGCUGCCCCGCAAGAGGGGGCGGCGCCCGAGCGCGGAGCCCAGCGGGGGAACAAAGGGGAGCCGGGACCCGGCCGCGCGCUUCCUGGGUGUCGGGUGACAGGUUUGCAGGGGAAGGCCCCGGCCGGGCCACCUGAAGAGGAUCCGACUCCGCGCGGCAGGAGGGGGAGGGCCAGAGGGGCACCGGGGCCCCAGGGCCGGAAGAACAGGGGGCGCGGGCCGCCUGGGACCAGGCGGCUGGAGGGAGGCCCUGCGGCUCCAGCACAGCGGCGCGGGGGCUCGACGGAGUGCGGAGAGAAUGACUCCAGGAGGGUUUUACCGCCCCCACCGGGCCCCGCCCGCCCCUCGCGCCGCGCCAUUGGCUCAGGUGCCGCGAGGCGGGGAGGGGAAAGAGGCGGGCCAGGGAUGAUUCACCUUGAAUGUGGCUCCGGUUGGUGCGCGGCGCAGGGCACGCCCGUCCGGGACUGCGGAGAGGCCUGGAGCCCCGCCUGCUUGCCCAACCCGGCCCGGUCUGGCCCCAAGGGGUCCCGCCACCCGCCUUCUAUACCCACCUCCUGCCCUCGGGCUAGGGUGCCGCUAGCCGAGGGGCGCCCGGACGCUCUGCCACCCCAGCGCCCUCUGAGCCCGGAGCUAGCCGAGGUGUGUGUGGCGUGGCGUGCUUGGAAAUCCGACCCUGGGAGGGGGGAGGGGAGGUGCGUUGGGAGCUGGGACGCACCGUGGGGCCACUGGACGGAUCUCCGCAGUCUCCCCGCAGGAAGGUGCUCAAGGCUGACCUGUCUCAGAGGGCUCACCCAGACCCAGGGGCGCAGGGCUGGAAUGGGGACAAGGGGCCUCCAAGUCCUCACACGCCCACCCUCGGCCAGUUCUGCGGCCUCACAGGUGUCUGGCCACCGGGGCCGCUGCCGCUGGGAACAAAGGCUGUCUGUCCCGAGAGGGGGGGCAGGGGAGCCGCCCCCAGACCCGUUCUCAUCUCCCCCUCCCCCCACUGCGACAGUGGCUCCCUAG
This 1362-nucleotide long non-coding RNA is filed under the name Papio anubis (olive baboon). Its description in RNAcentral is "lncRNA (ENSPANG00000037312.1)". The record is from RNAcentral. Lineage: Eukaryota; Metazoa; Chordata; Mammalia; Primates; Cercopithecidae.